UAUUAAUGACAGUUGGUUCAAAGGGGUUAG
This 30-nucleotide non-coding RNA is filed under the name Mus musculus (house mouse). Lineage: Eukaryota; Metazoa; Chordata; Mammalia; Rodentia; Muridae. The record is from RNAcentral.